Sinocyclocheilus grahami is the source of this 650-nucleotide long non-coding RNA. RefSeq lists it as uncharacterized. Lineage: Eukaryota; Metazoa; Chordata; Actinopteri; Cypriniformes; Cyprinidae. The transcript has 4 exons. The record is from RefSeq and is a predicted model, not a curated record.
CUGAUCAACUUGUGAUUUCCUGUUGUUCCAUUGCACAUGUGCUAUUGUGUGUUUGCUACAGUGUGUUGUCGCUGUUAGCUUGCCUGUUGAUCUGCCUGUUGUGUGCAGUGUGAAUUUUGGUUUUGAGUUGAUAAGUUGUUGUCAAUCUCAUUUCCAUUUUGUAUAUUUUGUAAAGUAUUGUAAAUACUCUUUUCCACACUUGGAAGCUGUAGGGGUGCGUCCCUGAAACAAAAGCAGGUUUGGAUCCCCAUGUCUCCGGCUCGACCCAGGAUGGAUUUUGGCGAAACAGCAGAAAAGAGUGACCUCAUUUUUUGCGCUGCUUAGAUGGGCAGUCCUCCGGUGACCUAGACGGCCCUCUCCGGUCCUCUCUGGAGAAGUCAGCACUUCAGACAAAAAAAAAACACUCUUAACCAGAGAUGUGCAUUCAUGGUAUAUAUGUAACCGCAACACAGGCCACAAUUAUUCCUGUUUCUCUCCAAAAUGGCCAUUUUAGCAGCUGCCUCUUCAGCAGAUCUCUGCUGUGCGUGGGUCAAGGGAACAGGCCUGUGGUCACGCCGGUCAGGCUACGGGUGCGACGGGAGGCCUCAGAUUAAUGGCCCCUCUCUGGAGGUCCUGCUACCGAUUGACCUGCCCCUUUAUAAUUCUUUUCA